CCCUUAGAUGUUCUGGGCCGCACGCGCGCUACACUGAUGCGUUCAACAAGUUUCCUUGGCCGAGAGGCCUGGGCAAUCUUCUUAAUAUGUAUCGUGAUAGGGAUAGAUUAUUGCAAUUAUUAAUCUUGAACGAGGAAUUCCUAGUAAACGCAGAUCAUCAAUCUGCAUUGAUUACGUCCCUGCCCUUUGUACACACCGCCCGUCGUACCUACCGAUUGGAUGUUCCGGUGAAGCCUCGGGAUGAGGACUGGUGCCUUUAUUGGCAUGAGUUGUUCAGAACUUGUCUAAACCUUAUCAUCUAGAGGAAGGUGAAGUCGUAACA
Molecule: ribosomal RNA, 322 nt
Filed under: uncultured eukaryote
Lineage: Eukaryota
Description: partial 18S ribosomal RNA
Rfam family: Eukaryotic small subunit ribosomal RNA
Source: RNAcentral